This is a long non-coding RNA of Sinocyclocheilus rhinocerous, 690 nucleotides long. RefSeq lists it as uncharacterized. The transcript has 3 exons. Lineage: Eukaryota; Metazoa; Chordata; Actinopteri; Cypriniformes; Cyprinidae. The record is from RefSeq and is a predicted model, not a curated record.
UUAUUUCUUUCGUUUUAGUUCUACGUAAAUAUUUAUUACGUUUCCCUGUUAGCUUUAGAGUGCGUGGAGGAAGAUAAAGUCUACAUCCUCGGAGGUUUAGUGGAUGAAACCAUACAAAAGAAAAUAAGCUACACGAGGGCGAAAGAGCUCGGCGUUCGCACGGCGCGGCUGCCGAUUGACGAGUACAUGGUGAAGAGACCAAACCCCAAAAACUUCCACUCUAAAAUCCUAGCCAUUAACCAAGUGUUUGAAAUCCUUCUGACAUUUCGGGACAUUAAAGACUGGACUAAUGCGCUUGCUGCGGGAAUACCUCCAGGAAAAGGUUACAUGGUGGCGUCAGCGGCAUCUACAGACAUAAACACUCCAGAAGAGCUGUAGACACACAUAGGCUUUGGUUUCAUAGAGUUUAUAAGGCCUCGAGCCUAUAAUAGUGUUAUGAACUCAUCUAUAUAUUAGACGACUUUAUGUUUGACUGAAGUAACUUGAAUUAAUAAUAUUCAAAAUACUUGACUGCAUCUUUUGUAUCACGUUUCUUUUAUUUUGAAAUGCUCUAAUUCGGUUGUCUCAGGGAUGGUUUUGCACAAACAGUCUAAAUACUGAGCUGAUGGAUAUUUUGUCAGCAUUAAAGCCACUGGUUAAAACUGAUAUAUGCAAGGAUCACAUUACAAGUGAUAAAGUAAUCACCAGUGU